GAUGAACGCUGGCGGCGUGCCUAAUACAUGCAAGUCGAGCGAACAGACGAGGAGCUUGCUCCUCUGACGUUAGCGGCGGACGGGUGAGUAACACGUGGAUAACCUACCUAUAAGACUGGGAUAACUUCGGGAAACCGGAGCUAAUACCGGAUAAUAUAUUGAACCGCAUGGUUCAAUAGUGAAAGACGGUUUUGCUGUCACUUAUAGAUGGAUCCGCGCAGCAUUAGCUAGUUGGUAAGGUAACGGCUUACCAAGGCAACGAUGCGUAGCCGACCUGAGAGGGUGAUCGGCCACACUGGAACUGAGACACGGUCCAGACUCCUACGGGAGGCAGCAGUAGGGAAUCUUCCGCAAUGGGCGAAAGCCUGACGGAGCAACGCCGCGUGAGUGAUGAAGGUCUUCGGAUCGUAAAACUCUGUUAUUAGGGAAGAACAAAUGUGUAAGUAACUGUGCACGUCUUGACGGUACCUAAUCAGAAAGCCACGGCUAACUACGUG
Molecule: ribosomal RNA, 497 nt
Filed under: uncultured bacterium
Lineage: Bacteria
Description: partial 16S ribosomal RNA
Rfam family: Bacterial small subunit ribosomal RNA
Source: RNAcentral